This 356-nucleotide ribosomal RNA is filed under the name uncultured bacterium. RNAcentral describes it as "bacterial SSU rRNA". It matches the Rfam family "Bacterial small subunit ribosomal RNA", at positions 29 to 412 of the family's 1533-position model. The record is from RNAcentral.
AACGAACGCUGGCGGCAGGCCUAACACAUGCAAGUCGAACGCCGUAGCAAUACGGAGUGGCAGACGGGUGAGUAACACGUGGGAACGUACCCUUCGGUUCGGAAUAACUCAGGGAAACUUGAGCUAAUACCGGAUACGUCCGUAAGGAGAAAGAUUUAUCGCCGAGGGAUCGGCCCGCGUCUGAUUAGCUUGUUGGUGAGGUAACGGCUCACCAAGGCGACGAUCAGUAGCUGGUCUGAGAGGAUGAUCAGCCACAUUGGGACUGAGACACGGCCCAAACUCCUACGGGAGGCAGCAGUGGGGAAUAUUGGACAAUGGGCGCAAGCCUGAUCCAGCCAUGCCGCGUGAGUGAUGAA